CUGUAAAGGAUUUGUGGACGCAGUGGGCUAAUACGUGUGUGUGACAGAUGAACAGUUCAAACGUGAAUGUGGGAGAGGUGACUUGGAAAUUUGUCUACAGACACGUGACCAAACCUUCACCACAGGAGCGAGGUAAAGGUACUUCUUCAGAUUGUGCUGAUGUUUAAGAUCUUUCAGAGCCUUCAUACAGGGCACUACCUGGAAUGCUUCAUGGUGCAUGGCUGGCUGUUACAUGAGAGUGGUUGUGCACGUGAUUCUCCCUACCAAUGGGCCUCGGGUGACCUUUCUUGCUACAGGCUGUCGGUGGGAGUGCAAAGCAACAACACGAAAGCGGAAUGUGGAGAGCGGCAGGCGUGACCAGGGACUGUGGCCGCGGACUCGGUUCACCACGACGGAACGGCCACCUGCGUGGGACGGGGAUGGACGGGGGAAAGCAGCCCGCGGUUGUAUUCUCCUCCUGUGAGCUGUCCGUCGGGCUCCGUUCCAAGAGGCCAAGCCACCGGAGUGGUCCGCAGCUGUGAGAACGAGCAAGCUCUUCAGUGUGAGCCGCCGUAUGAAAGUCGCUGUGCUGGGCUCGUCCAGAGGAAAUGGCCUGUCGUGGACUGAGCUG
Fukomys damarensis (Damara mole-rat) is the source of this 610-nucleotide long non-coding RNA. RefSeq lists it as uncharacterized. The record is from RefSeq and is a predicted model, not a curated record. NCBI's taxonomy places the organism in Eukaryota, Metazoa, Chordata, Mammalia, Rodentia, Bathyergidae. The transcript has 3 exons.